AACGAACGCUGGCGGCAUGCCUAACACAUGCAAGUCGAACGAGACCUUCGGGUCUAGUGGCGCACGGGUGCGUAACGCGUGGGAAUCUGCCCUUGGGUUCGGAAUAACAGUUGGAAACGACUGCUAAUACCGGAUGAUGACGUAAGUCCAAAGAUUUAUCGCCCAGGGAUGAGCCCGCGUAGGAUUAGCUAGUUGGUGGGGUAAAGGCCUACCAAGGCGACGAUCCUUAGCUGGUCUGAGAGGAUGAUCAGCCACACUGGGACUGAGACACGGCCCAGACCCUACGGGAGGCAGCAGUGGGGAAUAUUGGACAAUGGGCGAAAGCCUGAUCCAGCAAUGCCGCGUGAGUGAUGAAGGCCUUAGGGUUGUAAAGCUCUUUUACCCGGGAUGAUAAUGACAGUACCGGGAGAAUAAGCCCCGGCUAACUCCGUG
This 432-nucleotide ribosomal RNA is filed under the name uncultured bacterium. RNAcentral's name for it is "partial 16S ribosomal RNA". It matches the Rfam family "Bacterial small subunit ribosomal RNA", at positions 29 to 507 of the family's 1533-position model. The record is from RNAcentral.